This 15953-nucleotide long non-coding RNA is filed under the name Setaria viridis. RNAcentral's name for it is "long non-coding RNA (SVIR_LNC003820)". Lineage: Eukaryota; Viridiplantae; Streptophyta; Magnoliopsida; Poales; Poaceae. The record is from RNAcentral.
CCAACGCUCCGCCACCUCACCGCAUCCUCCCUUCUUGCCUCCGCCACUCCUUGCCCUGCCGCCGCUCCUCACCACAUGUAAGAGGUGAGGGGCAAGCGGGGGGGGGGGAGGAGAGGGCGGCGAUAGGAUCUGUGUGGGGGAGAGGGAGGGGAUUUAGCUAGGGAGAGAGAGGGGAUUCAGUGGGGAGAAGAAGAGAGAGAGGAAUGGGUGAGAGAAUGAGGGGAUGAUCGGAUAAGUGUGGGGAGGGGGGUGAGUGUGGAGUAAGAGAUUGAAGGGGUGCUGACAACGUGUGAGGGGAGGUUGCGAUUUAAUACCGGGUGAAGCCUGCACCGGGUACUAAAGACCCUCAGGAACAUUAUUACCAGUUGGAAGCUUCAAUCGAUACUAAUUUGUGACCUUUACUAUCAGGUAAAGCCUCCACCCGGUACUAAAGGGGGUCACGAGGGGCUCCUCGGGGACUAGCCGUUAGGCGAGCAUUAGUACCGGAUCAAAACACAACCAGUACUGAGCCUCGGGACGAAUGCUGAGUUUUCCAGUAGUGCCAGGUUGUGUUCGCUCCAUCAGAUGAGAGGUAGGCCGAGGCGAUGAGUGUUGACGCUCGUUAUUGACAUACUUUUAGUAUCAUUUAAGUGGUGUUUUCAUACAUAUUCUUAUACUAACCCGCCACUUGGCACCUGAAAUAACCUCGUUUUCGCAUAUGCAUUGUAUUUUGGAGGACAUUCUGUUUUUACAGGAAAUUGGACCUAAAAUCAUAUUUUUCGAUAAAGCCAUGAGCAAGCAACGAACUUGUCAAAUACGAAGGCCACCGGGCUCAGAAAGAGCCCAGGGCGAUCAUCUUGGUGAAGCCCAAGACGAUCGGCCAAGGGUCUUCUGGUCCCCUCCGAUGCUCAUUUUUUAGCAAGCACUCCUCCAAGAUUACUGUGUGUUUGGAUAGUGGGUUGGGACAGGUUUGACCUAGUUGGUCCCUUGUUUGGUUGGAAAUACAUGUGGGUUGGAGUGACUCCAGUAGGGAAUAUUUCACGUAGAUGCGGGUUGGAAUGGUUUCUCCAAAACGGGCGGACCGUCCUGACCCAGAUGGAUACCGUCGCUUCUUCGUCUCCGCGCUCGCCCUCGAUCACCCGCGCGCCGGCGUGCUCGCUGCCUCCCUCCUCACCUCCCCGGCCCGCCCGCCCUUGGUCCUCGCGCUCGCUAGCGCAGGCGCGCUCGCCACCCCCGCCGCCUGCCCGACGCCUCCAUCUUCCCACCAACCCCGCUUCCUCCCGUCGCCCUCCGCAUGCAUCACAGGGAGGAGCGGCGCGGGGAGAGGGGUGGCGGCUGGCGUGGGGAGAGGGGUGGCGGUUGGCGCGGGGGAAGGGAGCGGUGGCCGACGCGAGGGGAGAGGGAGGAGCGGCGGCGCAGGGAGAGGGAGCGGCGGUGCGGGAAAGGGAGGAGCGGUGGUCGUGCAUGCAGAGGGGCGGUGGCGCAGGGGGGAGCGCAGGGGUAGGGGAGCGGCGGCGCGGGGGAGACGGAGGGUGGCUAGAGGAAGAAGAUAAUGUGGGUGAUGAUGACAUGUGGGCCCCGCAGUUGAUAGUUGGGACCCGUUGCUAAUGGUGUUAAAAUACCAUCCAUCCCAACCUUCUCAAUCCCUCCAAUCAAACAAAAAAUUAGGUCCAACCUAUCCCUCUCAUCCAAACACGAGAUGGGUCGACUCCAACCCAUAAAAGGGGUGAGCUCCAACCCAACCCAUAUCGUUCCAAAACCAAACACAUGCUUAAGGGCUAAGAUUGUGAAGACAUGGCAAGUCUCAUUUCCAGAUCAAAGAGGAAGCAAAGAAGAUCAAGUGGAGAUUUGAAGAGUUAUCAAAGAUCAAUCUCAUCUUGAAGCUAUCAACGUGCUAGGUCCACAUACAUACAAAAAUAAGCUUCCAAAAAAUCAGAGGAGACUUGGCGACGGAGUUGGGCAUGAGGGGAUAAAAGGAAGGGUCAUGACGAUCAGCUUGGACCUCCACAGACCGAUUGGCCUAGGGUUUUCCUUAUUCCCCUCACCUUCUUAUUUCAGCCACUCGUCUUCCAAACUAUAAGAAUGCCCAAAAUUCAUCGACGCACAAGAUCAAUCCACCAGAAGUCGACGAAUAGAGGGACACACACCAGAGUGAGCUGAGGGCCACUGCAAGUCUUCGAGGUUGUUUAGGAGAUGGCUUAGGCUAGACCCUAGCCGCCAUGGUCAUCCCUGCAUGGUGAAGCCAUGGUGGAGUUUUGGAGCCGAGCCUUGUGAUCAUCAAGGCUUAUGUAUACACGAUGGUGAUAUCAAUCUAAUCUUGUGCUUAUUUUGAUCUACUAUGAUGCAUGCUUAUUCUCAUAUGUUUAGCUAGCAUAUGUUCUUAGUAGGAAUUGAUGUAAUCGUGGUGAUUAGUCUAUGUCUUUCGGAUACAUCUUAGUAGUGCGUAGGAAGUCGGUGUGAUUACCCUUGUGUGGCGACAACAUGUGGGAGGAAAAGACCGAACGAUUGCGUAAUGUUGAGUAGGAUCGAUGGCGAGUAUUGUGAGAGUCAUUUGAGGUAAAGCUUUGGAAAACCGGAGACAUUAACACAUACCUCGCAGUGGUGACCACAAGAAAGUAGGCCGUUUGCGAGCCACCUUUCUUAGAGAUGACUCUUUAUCAAGGUGCUACAUAGAUUGGUUAUCACUUUGGCUGAACUACAAUAAGAAAAUAAUAGGCUCAUGCUACCUUUGGUUGUGUUACCUCAUAUAUAUGGAUGCGAUAUGUUUAUCCUGUCCAAUACUUAUGUCACGAUUAGGUUUACCUUUAUAUGCAAUUCGUGCUUCAUGGUAGGAUUAGAUCUGAUUAGCUAGAUAGAAAAACCCUAACCAGUUUGCUGCCGAUCCACGGAUUGAUAAACCUUGGAUGGGAUAUUCUGAGGAAAAAACUACGAUGAUUCGUGCGCUUGCGGUUCAUAAACUGGCGUGUUAACUGCCAUCAACAAUGAGCUCGCAACAGGAGUGUGAUCGAUCUUGUCUAUAGAAUUCACGAUGAUGUUGUUCAUAUUGUUUAAUAUAUGUUUAACAAUUACAAGCUAGUGUAUUUUUCACAAUCAUGCUUAACCGCAUCUAAGUAAGAGGAAGCAGGGGUAUCAAGACGGUUACAAAAGCAUCACCAAGCUGGUGGCAAGCAGCAAGAAAAAAAUAUAGAGGGACACGCACUCAGCCUCACAAAGCAAACAAGACUACCCUACGCUGGAUUACAAGCUAGUGCUCUGGAGGGGGAGGGAGCAACUGCUCCUCCUUGGGGCACGGCAGCACGGGGCGGGAUUUGAAAAGUGGGGGAAAAAGACACGCAGGCGGGGCGCGGUGGGCCAGCGUGACAGCGGUUGCCGUGGCAAGUAGCGGGGGCCCAUCUUCUCUUUUGUAUUGUUGUUUCUCUCUCUCUCUCUCUCUCCUUCUCUUUCUCUGGAGAAUUCAAUUCGAUUGAUUGAUUAUCAAUAGCAGGCCACGCGCACACACACACACAGCUCCGCUCUGCCUCUGCUCCUCUUCCGUUCCUCUUCCAUCCAGGAGCGAGCCCCCCACCCAGACCACCAAAUCCGAUUCGCGCGUCGGAGCAGGAGGCGGCGGCAUGCCGCGCACGGCGGCGGCGGCGCCCCCGGCGCGCAAGGUGCCCCUCCGGAAGCUGCUGCGCGCGGCGUCCGUGGCGUGCGGGGUGCAGUUCGGGUGGGCGCUGCAGCUGUCGCUGCUCACCCCCUACGUGCAGGAGCUCGGCAUCCCGCACGCCUUCGCCAGCCUCGUCUGGCUCUGCGGCCCGCUCUCCGGCCUCCUCGUCCAGCCCCUCGUCGGCCACCUCUCCGACCGCAUCGCACCCGCGGCCUCCCCGCUGGGGCGCCGAAGGCCCUUCAUCGCCGCGGGGGCCGCCUCCAUCGCCGCCGCCGUCCUCACCGUCGGGUUCUCCGCCGACCUCGGACGCCUCUUCGGCGACGACAUCACCCCGGGCACCACACGCCUCGGCGCCAUCUGCGUCUACCUCCUCGGAUUCUGGCUGCUCGAUGUCGGCAACAACGCAACGCAGGGGCCCUGCAGGGCAUUCCUCGCGGACCUCACCGGUCGGUAAACUCUUCCUUAUUUAUUUCUUCCGUCGAUUAUAUUCUCGAUUUUUAUUAGGAGGAGAAGAACAAUCAAGCAGGAACUGCUGCCUGGGCAGUUCGAUUUCGCUUCCGUCGCACGCGAUUCGUGGCGUAACCAACAAGCAAUUUACCACAUCGCGAGGGGCCAAGCCAAAAACGGCCUCCGAUAUUUCUCUCCUCUCUCUCUGCUGCCUACGGAGUAUAUGCCUUCCCAUAUGUAGUAGUAGUAGUACUAUAACUGAUGAAUGAAAGAAAGAAAAACAGGCGUCGCUUUCCGCUUUAGCCCAGAUUCUUUGCUCCGAUGCGACGUUGCUCGCCUACCUCCUCAAUCCCCAUUUUACACGACGGCUACCUUACUUGCCUCGCCAAGCUCCGGAUUAUGUAUGGCCCUGAUUGUCUUUUUGCCAUGCCAGCUGGCCCAUCAUUAGCAUCAAGUUUAGCAGGCCCGGACAACAAACAAGUAAUGAAUAAUUAGGGGUUAGUAUGUAUACAUAUGUCACCACCAAUUGUUGUUGUUGUUUUUCCCCAAACCUCUCUAUAAGGAUAUGUAUGCUACUCUUCUCUGUAUGUGGGACUCAGGAUGAGUGUGGGGGGAGGUCAAGGGAUCGCUUUCGAAUUGUCACGGUAGGCCUGCACAGGGAGAGAUAUUCAAGUGUUACACCAUUAUUGCUGCAAGUUUGGAAUCAUAGGACAGUCCGCAUCUUUUGCCUGCAGCCAGGUAUUAAAGGGCCCUCAUUAAUAAUUGCAAGGCUGAGAAUGGUUGUGGCUGCGGGCUGCUAUCGGCUUGUAUGCUAAGAGGCAACAUCUGAUGCGACGCUACUCUGUGAUGGUAUGAUCUGUGCUCGUGGUGACAGCAUAGUUUUCAGAUUUUUUUUUGGUAAAACAAAUAGACGAUCAUCUAAGUAUUUUCUGUUGACGCAACUUAGUAGCUCAGCUAGCCCAUGGCCAAUCUGAGGGAGCUUUUCAGUUUCCGUGAUUCUGAUCCAGGCUUGUGCGCACAUUAAAUUGUGUUUUUCUGCUAAUGGUUUAUAAUACAUACACGUUACUUCUCUUGUCAAAACUCAGAAAUGACUCCCUUCCAACCCUUUAUAUUGCAGAGAAUGACCCAAGGAGGACUCGGAUUGCUAAUGCAUACUUUUCACUCUUCAUGGCCCUGGGAAACAUACUUGGAUAUGCCACCGGAGCAUACAGUGGCUGGUAUAGGAUAUUUCCUUUCACUGUUACACCAUCCUGCAGCAUCAGUUGUGCCAACCUCAAGUCUGCCUUUCUUCUUGACAUUAUUAUUCUGGUGAUCACAACCUACAUCACUGUAUCAUCAGCGCAAGAGCCUCAAACUUUUGGAGGUGAUGAAGCAGAACAUCCAGGUACCGAACAGGAAGCUUUCCUCUGGGAGCUUUUUGGGUCAUUCAGAUACUUCACACUACCAGUUUGGAUGGUCUUAAUUGUCACUGCCCUUACAUGGAUUGGAUGGUUUCCUUUUAUCCUCUUUGAUACUGAUUGGAUGGGCCGAGAGAUCUACCGAGGAAGCCCAGACAACCCAGAACAGUCCCAAAGUUACCAUGAUGGUGUGAGAAUGGGUUCUUUUGGCCUAAUGAUGAACUCUGUCCUUCUUGGGUUCACCUCUGUUGUACUAGAAAAGCUAUGUAGGAAGUGGGGAGCUGGACUAGUAUGGGGUGUCUCCAAUAUACUAAUGGCUUUAUGCUUUGUGGCAAUGCUCGUAAUAACAUAUGUUGCAAAGAACAUGGAUUAUCCUCCCAGUGGAGUACCUCCAACUGGCAUUGUCAUUGCUUCCCUGGUGGUUUUUACAAUUUUAGGGGCACCCCUGGCGGUGAGUAACAAGAUUGUCUUUUUCGACAGAAUGAUAUUUUUUUGUCUACUUCCAGCUCACUUGUAUGUUGUCCAUGUGGUAUAUUCAAUUUAUUUCCUUGUUUGCAGAUCACAUACAGUAUACCAUAUGCAAUGGCUGCUAGUCGUGUUGAAAAUCUGGGUCUUGGCCAAGGUAUUUCCAUUUUGAGUACGUACUAUCAUCAUGAUUGCAUUUCUUAACUUUUUUCUAUUUAUCCCCUGCAGGUCUGGCAAUGGGUAUCCUAAAUUUAGCUAUUGUCAUACCACAGGUAAUUACCUUUAUUAAUGUUUUUUGUCGGCUUUGGUUCAGUACUAUGUGUAUAUGGAGUCCAGUGCAACUGUGAGCAGUCAUAGGGUAAUUGGCCUAAACUGAUCAGUAGAUAAUGGAUCCAAGUAAUCUUACCCAAUAACAUUUGCUCUAAGUGAUAAUUGGUUCCAGAACCCAAUUUUAAAAAUGGUUUAUAUUCUUAGCAUCUUAAAGGCAAUAAGAGACGGUUUGAGUUGCAGGUUGAAAUGAUGUUGGUUGUCUAUAUCUUUAUUUAUAGUAGUGUCAGAUUACAGAUAGAACAGAUUUGGUCUUCAGUUAAUUGUAACACAUGGCAACAUAGAAGAACACAAGACAAACAAGAAACCCACGAUGAUGAAAUCACUGUAUCCAUAAAAAACCUAGCUGUAUCCUGGGUUUUUCCUAAAAACCCUUUGUUCUUAAUAUAUUGAUACGCAGCUCUCCUGCGUGUUCAAGAAAAAAAAUGAAAUCAUUGUAUCGUUGAAUAAUGUAGAAGCAGUGGUGUUGCAUUGGCUCUAUCUCAACAGAAGUGAAUUCCCUAUAGGAGAAACUUUCACAAAUAGUCUAGGAUUUGGAUCAUAAUACAACAGUCUCCACGUAGAGCGAAAUUCCUUUCGAUAGUAGAAAUCAUGAGUCGUCAUUGACCAACCAUGUGCGGCUGAAGUAAGGAAUAAUCAACGUGUGAGAUCAUCUUUGUUUUUCAAAAGCUUCACGUGAAGCCACACUGAGGAGACAAUUGGCAAGUCUGAAACCUGGCAACACAAACCAGACGGACACACCAAAUUCUUUGAAUAAUCCACAGUGCCAGCAAAGCCUCAACAUGUGCAACUGACCUCUAAUUUGAAGUGAAAGCAAAUGCUUGAUAAAUGACGAUACACCUGAGUCAGUUGUGAACACCCAUACUACAACUACAGGUGAUUUACUUGGCCUAUUCAUGAAACUGAAGAAGUUCUAAAUUCUAAUCAGCGAAUGUUGAAAUCCAAUCUUUAGGUUUAUAUAAAAGUGAUCAGGUUUUCAUUCCCUGUCUUGCACCACGAUUUCCAUCAAGAAAUCGAACGCUGGAUUGCGACCAAUGACCAUGUUAGCUAAAAAUAAGCUAAAUUCACAAUUAGGAUCAGCCAUCUUAUUUGUACUGUGUAUGUUAAAAAAAACUGUGGUCCGCAUUGGUACAAAUCAAGCCUUGUAAAACUCGUGUGUGUAAGAGAAAUCAGGACCAUUUACACAGAUGUUUAGCAUGAGCAUAAAUUGGCAAACUAGGUUAUGGCAAAAAAAAAAAAAAAAGGGACACUGGCAUGUUAUUUCCCAGAGUUGAAGCUCGACUGGAGCCAGGAUACAUGGUGAUGCAGCUUUUGCGGAUAUUGCUGACACUGGCACCUCCUGCAGAUUAUUGUGUCGCUUGGUAGUGGACCAUGGGAUGAACUGUUCGGCGGUGGAAAUGCGCCUGCUUUUGCGGUGGCAGCCGGUGCAUCUUUCAUCGGUGGGCUGGUGGCUAUUCUGGGGCUUCCACGAGCACGCAUUGCAUCGUCGAGGAGGAGAGGCGGCGGGACGCACCGAUAAGUUGCCUAGCCACCAUUGUUACAUACAUGCUGUGGAGGUGUUGCAAGCAACUUGCAACGAUUCUUUGCGGUUGGUCGGGUUGGGCACACAUCCAAGUCCUGCACUGCACGCUCAUGGGGGUGUCCUUUCCUUUUUGGUGGUUUGCCCUGUUGAGCUAUUUUUUGCCUUGUCUCUCCAUCAUUUGUUGUGCUUUAUUUACGUACAUGGAAGGAAUGUAUGUAUAUGUGUAUGUAUGUCAGGAGGUUAAUUAUAAUUGAGUAAUAAAAGUUACAUGAGUUACGAUUUACUGGCAGGGCUGCUGUUGUAUGUGUACUCCAUACAGAGAGAACAAUAGCAGAGCAGGCAGCUAGUGUCGUCCCUAGUACUAAAACCUCACUGAUUUUGCGGUAUGAUGUCCAGUUCCAGUUGCAACGGCACGCCGGGCGUGGGUUGGAGAACCUGCACCUGCCCGGGAAGCGCCGCCGACAGCUUGGCCUCGAAGGACUGCGUCGUCCCCUGUUUGGAGAUGACGGCGGCCAGGAGUCCGCCGGCGUCCACGUCGCCGUUGCUCAUGGGGACCACGUACCUGGCUCGCAGCAGGCUGGCCAGGCGGACGGCGUCCUCCUGGCCGGAGACGAGGGUGAAGUUGGCCGGAAGCAGCUGCUUCACCACCGGCGUGAUCACCACGUCCGCCUGCAGCUGCCGCCUCUUGUCCGGGAGGAAGAAGGAGCUGUCGUCGUACACGCAGUGCGGCUCGUAGUAGAGUAGGCCGUGGCCACCGUCAUCUGCGCCGGCGAUGAGGACGUAGCCGUUCUCGGGGCGCUGCCACGGCGGGCCCAGCACGGGGCCUGCGGUGGCCACCACCCGGAGCUGGGCGUUGACGGCGGUGGACUGGCCGGGCUCGAGGUAGGUGACGCGGCGGAAGGGCGUGGGCAGGGAGGCGAGCACCGGCUGCGCGUUGGGGGUGGUCACCACCGGCAGCUCCGGCGCCCGGGCGGACAGCUGCGUCAGCGUGCGGACGUGGCAGUGGUCGUCCAGGCUCUGCGUGAUGAGCAGCAGCCCCGGCUCCAGCGCCAGGAGGUCGUCCACGCCCAGGGCCUUCACCUUGGGGUUCUUCUUCGCGCCGUCGAACAGCCAUGGCGCGCCGAAGUCGAGGUUGCCGACGACCAGGGGGUCCACCAGGAUGCGCAUCGGAGAACUCUGGCCCUGGCCCUGCUGCUGCACCUCCCACACCCAGCUGUUGAUCUCCAGAUACGUCAGCUCGAGCGUCACCACCUUAUUGCCCUUGCUGAUGGUCGACGACGACGAGGAGCUACUGCUGCUGGCUGCUACUAUUGAUGAUGAUCUUGUUGGAUCUGGACGCCGGCUCCAAGCCAGGCGACGAUGAUGAUGGCAAGGAGAAGAAGCAGCGACUGGCGCGGCGGUGGGGCUGGAGAGCACCUGGAGCCGGCCGGCCAUGGCCAUCAUCUGAAAUUCUGAAUCCGGCGAUGGAGAGAGAGAGAGAGAGAGAGAGAGAGAGAGAGAGAGAGAGAGAGAGAGAGAGAGAGUGGAGGAGAGGGGACUCUGCUCCAGCACGCAGCACCCACCAGAAAGAAAACUAGUGGUUGUGGCCUUGUCUGGGCUACGUGUUCCGUCCGUCCGUCCGCUUGCUUUUUCUUGGUCAUCUUGGUCAUCAUCAUCAUGGGCCUAGCUACAGGCCCGAAUCGUGGGCCUCGGUGUCUGCAUAUAAUGCUUAUCUGAUGCGUUUAGGUCAGUUUUGAAACUAAAGCUAAUUCUAACAGCAAGCCCACCACAAGCCACUCUAAACAAAAAUUAAAAUAAACAUACAAAAUGUAAGAAUGCUCAGUUAACACUAGUUGUUAGCACCAGAAGAACCAAGUGAGGGACAUGCCGCGUCCAGUAUUAAGGCAUGAGCAAUGCCCACGGCCUUUGGCGGCUUUCUUGCGGGCCUGGAACUGUCGCCUCCGGCCUCUUGUGGUCCUGCCUAUUGGCACUUGGGGCUUUGCUUGUUGCCUGCAUCUUGCUGCUUCCUGGUCCAGGCAGUUAACCCAUCGACGGCCUGCGGUUGGAUGCCCCUCCCUCCUGUUUGCUUGCUGCCUGCAUCUUGCUGCCUGGUCCAGGCAGUUAAGCAAACAGGCCCUUGCAGCGUCGGCGCACGGGACCCUCUUCGCCCGCCUCCAACCUAGUCUCCUGGUUCUCAAAUGACGAGAAAAUCACGGGUUUUUUAAUAAUGAAAUGAGACUCUAUAUUCAUUACUAACGACAAUGUACUACAUGAGAAUAUAUGUUCAUUACUGUGUAAUUUGGAGGUUAAAAAGGUUACUUGUUAAUAAUACUUUAGCAGCGAGGAUGCUGCCAAGGAUGGACGUGGUAGAGAUAUUAAACAUUAUCGCCUGCUGGAGCUGGUUGUUAAGGUCAGCUGUGCCGGGGUCAAAUUAAUCACAUCACAUCCAACCACAUGCCUUUUCUCUCCAACGGAGACAUCAAGCUCAUAACUCACAUGUUCAUUAGCAAUUAGCAUGCUCAUCUCAUCCCAUUAGCAUGUUCAUUAGCAAUUAACAAUGUCCACCAUAUUCAUCAACAAAAAAGCGAACUCAUCAGGAGGUGGUGCCUGAGCUCACGCAAUUGAAUACGACGACAUCUUAGCGCUAACUUAUAACAGACUACAAGAGGAAGAGGCUUCUCCUCCUCCUCUCCUGGCGAGGUUUCUGCUUCUCAGUCUUUCAGCCAAGCCAAGCAAAGCCCAGGCGUUGCUCCUCCUCCUCCUCCUCCCAUCCAUCCAAGGGAAGGGAUGGGUGAGCCUGAGCCCGACGACGCCGUGCUCUUCGUCGGGGUGUCGCUCGUGCUGGGCAUCGCCUCCCGCCACCUCCUCCGCGGCACCCGCGUCCCCUACACCGUCGCCCUUCUCGUCCUCGGCGUCGCGCUCGGCUCCCUCGGUAAGAGAUGCGAUUCCAUUCCCCCCCGCCCUUCUCUUCCCGUACCUGCAAUUCAGUCACUCAUCUGCUACAGUGAUAGUAAAUAGUAAAUACACUCUGAUCACCAUGAACAAUUCUCUCCUUUUACUUUCCUCGCCUUCCAGAGUACGGAACACACCAUGGUCUAGGCAAACUUGGAGCUGGAAUUCGUAUCUGUAAGUUCCUAAUUCAUCCUAAUAAAUACUUCAAUUCAUUCCACAUCUAGGCGAGGUAAGGUGAUCUACCUGCUUUUCCUUCUCUUACUUAAUUAUUAGAGUUAUCCUUCCAAUAAAAUUAUUAAAUUGCAGGGGCCAACAUAAACCCUGACCUUCUGCUGGCUGUUUUUCUACCUGCACUCCUCUUUGAAAGCUCCUUCUCCAUGGAAAUACACCAAAUAAAGGUACACACUCUCUGUUUAUCCAUGCACCAUGGAAAGCCAUUCUAGUUUGGAAUUACGGUUCAUAACUCCCUGAAAAAGCAGAUUGCUAUGAAAAAGCCACUAAUUAGUCUUAUAAAUUCUGUUGUGUGGGGUUCUCAAUCUGUUGGGAUACCUCCUGUAUCUUGUGUAGUGCUGUAUACUCAACCUGCAGCUGAUGCAUCAUAUUUGGUCCUCUGUUAUCACCGCUUCUAAUAAAUAAUAAUGCUGGCUAUGGAUCUCUUCUGCUGUGAUUUUCUUUAGUAGUCCACAUAUGUUUGUUGAGUGUAGACUACAAUGCUUAUUUUGCAGAGAUGUAUGGCACAAAUGGUGUUACUUGCUGGACCCGGCGUUCUAAUAUCAACAUUUUUACUUGGCGCUGCUGUAAAGGUAUGUGCUUAGAGAGAUGAUGAGACAUUAUUUAAUAUAUCCCAAUGCUUCCUAACUGGUGUCCCACAGCUCACUUUUCCUUACAACUGGAGCUGGAAAAUAUCAUUGUUACUUGGUGGACUGCUUAGUGCAACUGAUCCUGUUGCUGUGGUUGCACUGCUAAAAGAACUUGGAGCAAGUAAAAAGCUCAGUACAAUCAUUGAGGGUGAAUCCUUAAUGAAUGAUGGGUAAGCUACUUGAACAAAAUUGUGCAAUCAGUAGUAUUGGACUCUGGAAGAGGGUAUGGAGAUGAACCCUAUAAACUGGAGUUCCUGUUCUAGUCACUACUAGGUCGAAAAAAUAUCCAUGCUAAAACUAAAUUUGAAAGUAUUUGCAGAAUCGUGCUAAAAACCAAAGCUGCCAAAGCUUUUAUAGUCAAUUGUCAUAUUAGAAACUGUCACACUAUUUAUAUAAGUUAAAAUCCGAAAUUCAAGAUUUUGUUAACUAUGCACUGUCCUUAUUUGAGCAUACAGGACACCCUUGACUAGUUGCUAUGGAAUUCAUUCUCCUCAUUGUAUGUAUUAGUCAUAUUGGGGUAAUGUGGUAUAUUAAGGAUACCUCAAAAUAUUAAAAUUUCAAGUUCAGUUAUGAAAUCUAUAAGAGCUUCAAUCAUCCUAAAUAACCACAAAUUCUACAGGACUGCUAUUGUUGUCUAUCAGCUGUUCUAUCGAAUGGUGCUUGGAAGAACCUUUGAUGCUGGCGCAAUAAUAAAGUUCCUGUCAGAAGUUUCACUUGGAGCGUAUGUGGGAUUUCUUUAUUAAAUUCAAAGUGAAUUAUAUGUCUAUGUGCUUAUAAUUCUAAUUAGUAUCUUCUUUGACCAGUGUUGCUCUGGGCCUUGCAUUCGGAAUCGUAUCAGUACUGUGGUUGGGAUUUAUUUUUAAUGAUACAAUCAUAGAGAUUGCGCUUACUCUUGCUGUCAGCUAUAUAGCUUUCUUCACUGUAAGGCCAUGCCACUUCAGGAGUCCUUACUUCCCUCUAUUUUCUCAGAGGCUUUGCUGUUGUUAAUGUUCAUUUAUAUCAGGCACAAGAUUCACUGGAGGUCUCUGGUGUUUUGACUGUCAUGACACUGGGAAUGUUAGUAAAUUUGUGCUGACAAAUAGUUUUGCAUUUUUAAUACUACUACUCUUGUAUUAACCAUGUCACUUGGGCAGGUUCUAUGCAGCUUUUGCAAAAACUGCUUUUAAGGGCGAAAGUCAGCAAAGUUUACACCAUUUCUGGUAUGUUAGAGAAACAAGUCACUCUAUUAUCAACGGACAUAAAUAUUCUUGACAAAUUCUUGACCUAGUAGUUGUGUAUCUGUUCCGUGUAUUCCAUAAGUUUUUUAUGCUGUUCAUGUUUACUUUCUUUCAGCAUUACUUCAACAGGAUUACUAUUUAAAUCUAUGUGCUGUUGUAAAGGCACAGCUUUAUUGUCAGCGUCCAAGUGCCAGCUUUUUUUAGCACCUACUUUAACAAUGAUUUGUUAAAUCUCCUUAGCAUAGAACUUCAUCAUUUAUGUCCUAGAACAUUUAGCAGCAUUUGAAUAAAUCGUAUGCUUUGGAGCCCUCCACUUAAAACUUCUUAAUGCAGUGAAACAGUACUCCUGUGUGUCCAAGAAAAAAUAUAUUCAUGGUGGUCAUUGAACUUGCGACAUGGGUUGGGUCUCUGUACUCCUACGAUGCACAAUAACAUGAGAUAUCUUAAUUUUCCCAGCUGGUUCCCUCCACUUGCUAUAUUGGAGCAAGGGGCUUUGACCUGCAAAAUUAGCUGCCAAGGCUAUGUCAACUUUUCUGAAACCUAGCUAAUCACUAUAAAACCAAAAGUAAGCCAUAUUCUCAGCCCUCUUCCUCGAAUCCUGCUUUUCUACCCCGAGCAGGCCAAGCCAGUGCCAGAGAUGAAGCAAGUGGCGUGGAUGACUAAUGUUACCAGCUUUUUUCUUUUCCUUUUGUUGGGUGGGUUGGGGGUGAGGGGGUGACGGAGGGGGGGGGGGGUUGUUCGAGGGGAGAGGGUGGUCAAUGUUUGCUACUCCUUAAGCGUUCAUCUCAUAGGUCCUGUGUGCCAAAGCAAGGUUGAGUCAUGGUAGUGGAAUUGGAACUACUUAAUACUUAUUGCACUUCAGAAACUAAUUCGAGGGUCCUCCCUGCUAUUUAUUAGCAAUUUUAAUCUGGACCUGUAACCAACAAAAAGUAAACUAAUAAAACCAUAAAAAUACACAAGCAUUAUUAUCAAAUGUUCGCAUGGAAUUAUUCCGUCAGCACUCAUAGUGUCACUGAAUGCCUACCCUAGUUUUGUUGAUGAAUAAUUUGGCCAUUGUUAUUUUCUAGUACCUUGCAAUCUUCUCAGUUGACACUGAAUUAAGGUAGCCUAAUCUUGAUAUUAUUUGAUACACAUCAAAUAAUGGACUCUUUUACUUCUUUAAGUUAUGUACAUGAUCAUGUAUAUAUUCUAUAAGAUAGUCCUUUAUUUUUAUGAUAUUUUAGUAUAUAUAUCUGAUCUGAGUUUCAUGUUUGCUUGCUGUUUUUCUUGUAUUCAGGGAAAUGGUUGCUUACAUUGCAAACACACUUAUUUUUAUACUGAGGUAUUGGCAGCUCUUCUGUACAUGUGGGAAAAAUAUUAUUUGAUUUUUCUGUUUAUGUCCAGCUGAUCCAAACUUCUAGGUGUUUUGAUUGUAUGCUUCAUAACGACACAUCUGUAAAAUUUCUUACUUGUGAAUCCCCUUCAGUGGGGUUGUUAUUGCAGAUGGUGUUCUACAAAAUAAUGUCCAUUUUGAGACGCAUGGUAUGCAUCAUGUACCCCCUGAAAUGUCUUCUGCUGUUUGGUGGAUUUAUUUUUGAGGCUCAAAAUUGAUUAUUUAAAGUUCAAAAUUUAUUGAAGACCCAACGCAACUAUUUCAGUUUUUCAUGAAUACACAAGGAUGAGCUCUCAUUUGUGCUUAGCUCAGGCUUUGAUGCAACAUAUAGAUAUCCACCUGAAUUAAUUAACAUCAUCUCAGCUUUGCCCAUAACCAUUGACACCUUUGUUGCUUCAAAAUCUCUGGAAAAACCUUGGUGAACUAAAGAAAAAUUUACUUUUCUAGUUCUGAUAGUGAGUUAUUCCAUGUUCAUCAUAGUGGAAUGAAUAACAUGCUGUUAAUGUGCUAUUAAAGAUAAUAGGAUCCCUCUGCCCUGCUGCUGAAUUUUGGUGCCAUAGGAUUGCACUUCUUAUUCAACUGCAAUCAGCCGAUCCUUCAAACACUUGGCAUUUGAUUAGUAAAAAAACUUGAACGUUUCAUCUUGGGUUAGAUACCAUUGCUACAAAAUCAUGUUUUUCAUAUGAUUCAAGUGUUACAAUUUGAUAAUAUUUCUUAGUUCUGAUAUGAGCUUUCUGUACUAUGAGCUUAAUUCUAUUAAACCUCAUUAUGUGUACAUUCAUUUUAUCUCUUGGCUCUUGUAGGCACUUCGUGGGGCUUCCUUCUUCUGCUCUAUGUCUUUGUGCAAAUAUCCCGACUUAUAGUUGUUAGUGCUUUGUACCCAUUGUUGCGUCACUUUGGGUAUGGGUUGGACUUGAAAGAGGCCAUGAUUCUUGUUUGGUCAGGGCUGCGAGGAGCUGUUGCUCUGUCACUAUCGUUAUCUGUUAAGGUAAGUUAGUUUCAUUUGUGUACCAAUGAACCCUUUCAUUUGUGCUUCAUUUUCAAGUACAUUAGUCUACUACAGAGUUUUCUAACGCAUUUAUUGGAAUACUUUUAAUAGCGUACCAGUGAUGCAGUUCAACCUUAUAUUAAACCGGAAGUUGGAAUGAUGGUAUGCCCCUUUUUGUGUGUGAAAGUGCCAAAUAUCUAGUUUUGGACUUUGCUAAUGUUAUAUCUUAUGCAGUUUGUGUUCUUCACUGGUGGCAUCGUGUUUCUAACAUUGAUUUUUAAUGGUUCAACCACACAAUUUUUGUUACGUAUGCUUGGCAUGGACAAACUGUCAGCCACAAAGGUUAGCUUCACAAAUUGCCAUCUACCAAUUCCAGCUUGGUAUUUAGGUUUUGCUUGUUUUAGAAAUCUUUUGAGUUUCAUUUAUAUCCAUCUGUCCUCUAUCUUCGACUAAUUAUUACUUUAUUAGUGAAGUACCCAUCUGUCCUCUAUCUUCGACUAAUUAUUACUUUAUUAGUGAAGUGGUGAAGGCAAUGUUUUAUGUGCUGCCACUUAGCCUAAUGCCUUCAAUAUAUCAAGGUUAACGGUCACCAGUUGACUCACAAAAGCUAGACUUAACUCUAGAAUAUCCAAGCCUCCAAGGGGGAAAAACGUGGAGAGACCAAUUAAACUCUAGAUGCUAUCGAUGAGGCAACAAAGAGAAGAAUAGAUUAUCCCAUAUUCCUAGUUCUCUUCUACAAUAUUUUUCCAUAGGACACCACGUGCACAGAUUAAGAAAGUACUAGUUUCAAGAAAAAAAACAA